Molecule: long non-coding RNA, 2865 nt
Filed under: Capsicum annuum
Lineage: Eukaryota; Viridiplantae; Streptophyta; Magnoliopsida; Solanales; Solanaceae
Description: long non-coding RNA (CANN_LNC020595)
Source: RNAcentral
GAUAUUUAUUCAAUAACACCAAUACACAAAAUAUUCGAUUUCAAUCCAUUUCCUUUUUACCAACCCAAUUCACAACAACACUGUUCUGGCCCAAAUUCCAUUCUUUCCUUUCAACAGCCCAAAACAAUCCAUUCCCUCAACAGUCCCUUCACUUAAUUAACCUCUCCAAGCCUAACACUAAACCACCAAACCGGUCCAUUCCCAUUUAUUUUCUCUCCUCCAACAACAUACAGCGAACAAUCGACAAUAACCAUAUCAAUCACGAUAACAACAACCAUUUCCACGCAAUAAUCCAAACCAGCCUCAACCAACGUCGCCAUCGAACCCCACAACGGCGACCCAAUGCCGGUAUCUGAGACACGCGCGCAAACAGAAACACCGAUGACAACGACCAAAUCAAUGGCGACCUAGGUUCCAACCUGAAGUCAACCCAAAAAUCCCCAACGGUUCAUCCAAAUGUCUAUCUUUUUCCACCUUCAUGUGAUUAACAUGUUUUUAGUACGAAAUCAAUCUCAAAACUUCUAGAAUUUUGCCAGGUGGCAGCCAAAUCGAUUUUCAAAGAAUAUUGCUCAAGAAAUUCAUUGGGAAUUUAUUUGAUUUGGUCUCAAUUUCGAUUGGUGGAAAGGGAAUUUCAUUUUCUGCUCAAGAUUCCCAAAUUCAAAAUUCCUUCGAGAAUUCCAAAAUUGAGUAAAUGAACACGUUUAAAUUCGGUCCUCAUCCAAAAAUUUGAAAAGAUCUCACUUCAAAUAUUCCAAAAUUACCCCUGAAAAUCCCUAUCACACAUCAUUAGAGGGCAGAAGCUGAACCCCAACCAUUUCUAUAAAAAACACGCAAAAUUGAAGGAGGGGGGGAGGGGGUGGGGGAGGAGAAAAAAUUACUCUAAAGCAAAAGUGGUAUUUUUUAGUAAAAAUAUUUUUCAAAAACAUGGUUGACUACUCGGAGUCCUCGAAAUCAAAGCAAAGCUUCCGGUGGUGUCAUUUCGGUGUUAACUCGAGUCUCAUUUUGCUACUCCAAAACAGACAGGUAACACUUCGCCCAUUUUUGAUUUUGAUAUUUUCUUCUUUAUUGUCGUUCUAUAGUCGUAUAAUAGUGUUCUAGACUUUUGUAGGACGUUGUGGUUAUUUAUUGCAGAGGCUUUGAAAGUCGUAGGUCGUGAUGGCGACUGAUUGAUUUUUUUGCUCAUGUUUUCAUAAUCUCUAUUGAAAUCCCCAUGUACUACUGUUUCAAUCUUUUUUUUCCCAUCCAAGUUUUUUUCUUAUAUAAUAAAGCAUCUAUGGGUAUUGGAAUGAUAAUAUUUUUUUAUUUUUUUUCUUCAUAAGAGGUUGGUUGACUAUUUCUGCUCAUGUGUCGCUCAUGAAGUGUUAGCUUUUUUUUUAAUAUUGAAUAAAUUGGUUGAUCCUAUUUUGACCCAUUGUAACGGAAAGUUUUUAGCUUUGCCUUCGUUCUACCUAACUGCUUUCAUGUUCAUCUUUACGUGUUCAUAAGUCAUUUGUCCAAGUUCUGAGAUUCAUAGUGUUAAUUAACGGUAGAUGUGCCUGUUCAUGAUAUGGAUUCUAUUUUUCAAUAACCCAUAGUUUAAAGGAUGUUAUAUUUGAUCAAAUAAAGGAACAAAAAAUGAUUUUUCCUAAACUGUCUGAUUAACGUGAUUGUGGCUUAUCUCUAGUUCUGAGAAUUUUAUUUCACUGCCCAGAUUGAAGCUAAGAAGCUUGCAUCGAAUCGAAAUUUGUGGCUAGGUCUUUCCUUUUGGUUGAAUUGUUCCUUUUCUGUCUUUUGUUUUCUUCUUCUCGUUUUGUUAAAUAUCCGUGUGUUUCCUCUGCCUGUCUUGCUAUUUUUGAAAGUUGGUCAUUGGUUCGCUUAAAUUUUGAUUUGUAUUAUUUUAGCCUCUCAGUUUAGAGAUCCUACGACUUUCAAUUUAAUUCAUUGAUUAUGUUGCCUUACACGUUGUGUAGGAACUUGGGAUCUUAUUGCUAAAUGAACUUAUUUGAACAUGUCCGGACCAAGUGUGUAAUAUAGUUGUUCGUUAAAUUUUGUUUUGCCCUCAGUCACCUUAAAUUUUCAUUCUAGUUAUCCCACUUAGCUUUUUGGUUUGACCCACAUACUCAUUGUAUGCAUAAGAGCCUAUCCCAUUUGGUAUUAAUGACAAGGAUAGACCAACGAAGCUUUAAUUAUAGGUAAUUACAUACUCCCUUUAAAAUGUCGAUCAUAAUUUAGAUGCAUGAUUCUUCACUAAAAAUAUUGUCUUAAUUGUAGUUUAAAGAUUUUUUUUUUUUUAAGACUUAGCCUUCAUUUUCUUUGUUGCAUGAAUUAAUGUUUAUUUGUAGAAAGAUAUUUUUUUUGUAUUAAACUAGUUCUUGAUGCUUUCUUUCACUUUAAAGGAUGUCACGAAUAGAUAUUAAUUCCUUCUUCAUUUUUUUCUUUGCAUGAACUCGCUUGGGAGCCCAAUUGAACUCUUUUUUCCUUGCAUUACGCAACGGGCCAUUGAGGCCCAUCCUUUGGAAGAUUUUGAAAAUCGAUUACAUAGCGUAUGCAUACAAGGAGUCGAAAGAAGAAGAAUGGGCUAAAGUUCCGACUUUGAAGUGGGAAAGAGACUCGAAAGUCUCAUUUUUUCAUUUUAAUUCAUUUAUUGUUGUCUUUUUAUUAUUAUUUACUUAUUUCUUCAUUGCAUUAUUCAUUCAUUUGGGCCUCGACGCCAAAAUUGUAAAUUUAAGGAUAAAUUAUAUAUUAUAGACAAAAUACUAUAUUAAUUACAUGAUAUGGUUCAUGUUUUAAAAAAUUACAAUUCGUAGUCAUUUGGUAGUUAAAAGUUAGUUUUUUUUGUGGGCCCUCUAUACAAAUAUAUUAAGAUUUGUAUAUAUUAAUUUUCUC